AUUGAACGCUGGCGGCAUGCUUUACACAUGCAAGUCGAACGGCAGCACGGACUUCGGUCUGGUGGCGAGUGGCGAACGGGUGAGUAACAUAUCGGAACGUAUCCAAUAAUGGGGGAUAACUAAUCGAAAGGUUGGCUAAUACCGCAUACGCCCUACGGGGGAAAGCUAGGGACCUUCGGGCCUGGCGUUAAUGGAGCGGCCGAUAUCUGAUUAGCUAGUUGGUGGGGUAAAGGCCCACCAAGGCGACGAUCAGUAGCUGGUCUGAGAGGACGACCAGCCACACUGGAACUGAGACACGGUCCAGACUCCUACGGGAGGCAGCAGUGGGGAAUUUUGGACAAUGGGCGCAAGCCUGAUCCAGCCAUUCCGCGUGAGUGAAGAAGGCCUUCGGGUUGUAAAGCUCUUUCGCAAGGGAAGAAAACUUACCCUCUAACAUAGGGUGAGGUUGACGGUACCUUGAUAAGAAGCACCGGCUAACUACGUGCCAGCAGCCGCCGCCG
Molecule: ribosomal RNA, 500 nt
Filed under: uncultured bacterium
Lineage: Bacteria
Description: partial 16S ribosomal RNA
Rfam family: Bacterial small subunit ribosomal RNA
Source: RNAcentral